RNAcentral lists this ribosomal RNA (1621 nucleotides) under Escherichia coli. RNAcentral describes it as "bacterial LSU rRNA". It matches the Rfam family "Bacterial large subunit ribosomal RNA", at positions 1243 to 2843 of the family's 2925-position model. Lineage: Bacteria; Pseudomonadati; Pseudomonadota; Gammaproteobacteria; Enterobacterales; Enterobacteriaceae. The record is from RNAcentral.
GUAAGCCUGUGAAGGUGUGCUGUGAGGCAUGCUGGAGGUAUCAGAAGUGCGAAUGCUGACAUAAGUAACGAUAAAGCGGGUGAAAAGCCCGCUCGCCGGAAGACCAAGGGUUCCUGUCCAACGUUAAUCGGGGCAGGGUGAGUCGACCCCUAAGGCGAGGCCGAAAGGCGUAGUCGAUGGGAAACAGGUUAAUAUUCCUGUACUUGGUGUUACUGCGAAGGGGGGACGGAGAAGGCUAUGUUGGCCGGGCGACGGUUGUCCCGGUUUAAGCGUGUAGGCUGGUUUUCCAGGCAAAUCCGGAAAACUAAGGCUGAGGCGUGAUGACGAGGCACUACGGUGCUGAAGCAACAAAUGCCCUGCUUCCAGGAAAAGCCUCUAAGCAUCAGGUAACAUCAAAUCGUACCCCAAACCGACACAGGUGGUCAGGUAGAGAAUACCAAGGCGCUUGAGAGAACUCGGGUGAAGGAACUAGGCAAAAUGGUGCCGUAACUUCGGGAGAAGGCACGCUGAUAUGUAGGUGAAGUCCCUCGCGGAUGGAGCUGAAAUCAGUCGAAGAUACCAGCUGGCUGCAACUGUUUAUUAAAAACACAGCACUGUGCAAACACGAAAGUGGACGUAUACGGUGUGACGCCUGCCCGGUGCCGGAAGGUUAAUUGAUGGGGUCAGCGCAAGCGAAGCUCUUGAUCGAAGCCCCGGUAAACGGCGGCCGUAACUAUAACGGUCCUAAGGUAGCGAAAUUCCUUGUCGGGUAAGUUCCGACCUGCACGAAUGGCGUAAUGAUGGCCAGGCUGUCUCCACCCGAGACUCAGUGAAAUUGAACUCGCUGUGAAGAUGCAGUGUACCCGCGGCAAGACGGAAAGACCCCGUGAACCUUUACUAUAGCUUGACACUGAACAUUGAGCCUUGAUGUGUAGGAUAGGUGGGAGGCUUUGAAGUGUGGACGCCAGUCUGCAUGGAGCCGACCUUGAAAUACCACCCUUUAAUGUUUGAUGUUCUAACGUUGACCCGUAAUCCGGGUUGCGGACAGUGUCUGGUGGGUAGUUUGACUGGGGCGGUCUCCUCCUAAAGAGUAACGGAGGAGCACGAAGGUUGGCUAAUCCUGGUCGGACAUCAGGAGGUUAGUGCAAUGGCAUAAGCCAGCUUGACUGCGAGCGUGACGGCGCGAGCAGGUGCGAAAGCAGGUCAUAGUGAUCCGGUGGUUCUGAAUGGAAGGGCCAUCGCUCAACGGAUAAAAGGUACUCCGGGGAUAACAGGCUGAUACCGCCCAAGAGUUCAUAUCGACGGCGGUGUUUGGCACCUCGAUGUCGGCUCAUCACAUCCUGGGGCUGAAGUAGGUCCCAAGGGUAUGGCUGUUCGCCAUUUAAAGUGGUACGCGAGCUGGGUUUAGAACGUCGUGAGACAGUUCGGUCCCUAUCUGCCGUGGGCGCUGGAGAACUGAGGGGGGCUGCUCCUAGUACGAGAGGACCGGAGUGGACGCAUCACUGGUGUUCGGGUUGUCAUGCCAAUGGCACUGCCCGGUAGCUAAAUGCGGAAGAGAUAAGUGCUGAAAGCAUCUAAGCACGAAACUUGCCCCGAGAUGAGUUCUCCCUGACUCCUUGAGAGUCCUGAAGGAACGUUGAAG